This 81-nucleotide transfer RNA is filed under the name Methylobacterium isbiliense. RNAcentral's name for it is "tRNA-Arg". The record is from RNAcentral. Lineage: Bacteria; Pseudomonadati; Pseudomonadota; Alphaproteobacteria; Hyphomicrobiales; Methylobacteriaceae.
GCCUCGGCCAGGGUGCGGCCGAGCUCCGCCACCGCCUCGGGCGGGGGCAGCGCGCGCACGGCUCCGGCCCGUGCCGACGCC